Molecule: long non-coding RNA, 1738 nt
Filed under: Canis lupus familiaris (dog)
Lineage: Eukaryota; Metazoa; Chordata; Mammalia; Carnivora; Canidae
Description: lncRNA (ENSCAFG00845018643.1)
Source: RNAcentral
GUGAUUGUCUAAAUCUCCAAUGAUUCUCAAUGCAGGCAGGGAAGAUAGAGGUACACUGCACUGGGGACCUUGCAACCCCAUGUAUCAAUACAAGCUCAGGAAUGGGUCCAUGCUCAGACCUGAGAGGUCUGUGAAUGUCCUUUUCCAAUCCCAUGGGAAGUGGCCCUAUACCUUUUGGGGAAAGACUGAGCAAUCCCAAAGUCUUUCUUUCAGGGAAUCUUACUCUUUAUCUGAGGGACUCUUGGUCUUGAGAAGUGAUGUAUGUCAAAGAGUUGGAUGGAGUGGCCUUCUACUGGCUUGAUGAUGUCACAAUCAGGCUUUUGCUGGCAACACCAGAGUGUGUGUGUUUGCUCAGAUCAAGUUGGACUGUAGUAGUCGACCAGGAGAUACCAUGCAGUCUUUCCCACUGUGGGACCCAACCAUCCACACUGAAACCAGAGAGCCUACUUCCAUGGCAGGAUUCUCUACCUUCUCUGGCUUCCUACUAGAAACAGCCAUUAUACCAUCUUGCAAGGAGAAGCUGACACUUGAGAACAUCUUUCUGAGGCAAAAUCCUCUCUGGGGCAGUCAGCCGUGUUGGGGCUGUGAGUACCAUUGGUGUCAUGGGGACCCAGACAUCUUCUCUUCUGAUCAAGUAAAUCUAGAAGAUUCCCUCCAUUCUCCACGUUUCUCUGGGUGAUGCAGAUGAAUCUCUGGAAGAGAUAACCUUAAGAGAUACAUAGCACAAAACUUUAGACAUUAAUUCACAUGGUACUUUUCUAAUUGAAAAUACGUAGUUGUGGUGAUGUCACCACAAUCAGACUAUGACCCAACUAUAGAGACACAGAAUAGGACACACGCAAAACUAUCACUGUAGCAAAGCAGAAGAGGGAUCUGACUUUCGCUGCACUGGACUGUGCAUCUACAGAGCACAUAACUAUGCAUUGUGCUUCUCCUGUGAUCGAGCUACAGGAUCAAGAGAAUGAAACAUGAUAUUUGACUCUCGAAAUCAGCAGUGAAAAGCAAUGCUUCUGAUAAGUGAGUGCAAAGACUCUGUGGGGUUGCAUAUUUGAAAGGAGGACAAGUCUCCAGAGGAUACACUCCCACAAGGCUUUACUAGACAGAAAGGGUAUGGAAGAGCAGGAGAAAGAAAUCCACAGGCAAUCACGAAUCAUAAUGAAGUCCACACAUCUCCAGGCCCAGUCCAUCAAUGUCCUUCCUCAGUCACAGAAGAUGAACCUCAUCUGUGGAUACAAAGCACCUAGAUACAUACGAGGUAUCUUGGUGUCCGGGGAGUCCAAGCUCCAGUUUACCAGAGGACGUUGAAAGCCCCGCAUCAUACCAGCAAGGUAGGUUGGAUAAUCGGGUCAGCCAGAUGCAACUAUCAACCUGAGCCUGCUUUGCAAACCCUACGAACACAUAUAACCAAGCCCCCAGCACUACUAAUUUUGAAUGUUUACUUCUGUUGUCUUGAUUUGAAAUAUAUCUGUGUUUCUGGAUUCCUGACUUUUAUCCUCAUCCGACUUUUAUUCUCAAAAUCCUUUAUUCCCCUGACCCUUUUCUCCUCUUGGCUCUUGGCCUAGUGUAAUGAUUUGGAAGAGAAAAUAAGAAGAUUACAGACAUAAAACUGCAUCUUUUCUGUCUGCAAGUUUUUUUUUUUUUUUUUUUUUUUUAAUCAACACGUUUGUGAUACAUUGUUUAAGCUGAUAGAUGAGAAUUUUGGGAUAAAGAAUAUAAAAUGACUUAUUUGAGAUGGAGG